RNAcentral lists this long non-coding RNA (741 nucleotides) under Apteryx rowi (Okarito brown kiwi). RNAcentral describes it as "lncRNA (ENSARWG00000000851.1)". The record is from RNAcentral. Lineage: Eukaryota; Metazoa; Chordata; Aves; Apterygiformes; Apterygidae.
UUUCACGGCUUUUUCAAGCCUAUGAAAAAGCGUUUUUCCUCUUUCUUAUUAAGUUCUUGUUCCAUUACUCCCAGUCGGGCAUUUAAUUUCUGUUAGUGGUGUUGAGGAAUGGAAUUCUCCCGUGUCCCUGCUUUAUUUAUUUGAGAGCCCCAGUCAAGGUUAAGCAGAACCAAGCAUUGCUGUUCCCAUCAGGAGACCUCUGCGUGUUGGUGAAUACUGGUACUUCUCUUGCUGUAAAUCAGCUCCUCCAUUCCCUACCUCGUAUCUCAUUAAGACUGGUGCAACUGAUAAGGUUGAAUUCCUCCAUGUUACUAAUGAUCAUUCAGGCUUUAUUGAAACAACUUCAGGUUUUGCACCUUGAUGCCAAAGGAAAUGGUUCCCAUCACGGAAAUUUCAUGUUGGAUGCGCAAUGGGGAGAGGCGCUGGCCUUGCUGGGUUCCUCAACAGACGGCUCCAGUGAUGCAAUCCUCACGUUCCUACCUGCCAGGACAGAGGGAAGCCUUGAUGUGUGGCACAAAGGGAUAUGCAAGAGGAGCAAACAGACCAUGAGCUCUGUUGACAAAUGCGGCAUUUGUGGGGCAAGGACAAUGCGAGUCGAAAGAGUAAAGAAGAAUCUAAAACAUGGUGGCCGCAUUUCAGGUAUAGACCUGAUUCUUUUAUAUAAGGAGUAACACUACAAGAGAAGUUGAGUCUAUGGAGAAGAAGAGGAUCCUGGACAAGCCUGCAGUUCCAGCAUUCCUG